GGAGGAAAGCAGGGGAUCGCAAGACCUUGCGCUUUUGGAGCGGCCGAUGCCUGAUUAGCUUGUUGGUGAGGUAAAAGCUCACCAAGGCUCCGAUCAGUAGCUGGUCUGAGAGGACGACCAGCCACACUGGGACUGAGACACGGCCCAGACUCCUACGGGAGGCAGCAGUGGGGAAUUUUGGACAAUGGGGGCAACCCUGAUCCAGCCAUGCCGCGUGAGUGAAGAAGGCCUUCGGGUUGUAAAGCUCUUUCAGCCGGAACGAAACGGUUACGGUCAAUACCCGUGACUACUGACGGUACCGGAAGAAGAAGCACCGGCUAACUACGUGCCAGCAGCCGCGGUAAUACGUAGGGUGCGAGCGUUAAUCGGAAUUACUGGGCGUAAAGCGUGCGCAGGCGGUUUUGUAAGUCAGAUGUGAAAUCCCCGGGCUUAACCUGGGAACUGCGUUUGAAACUACAAGGCUAG
This 465-nucleotide ribosomal RNA is filed under the name uncultured bacterium. RNAcentral's name for it is "bacterial SSU rRNA". It matches the Rfam family "Bacterial small subunit ribosomal RNA", at positions 198 to 644 of the family's 1533-position model. The record is from RNAcentral.